CCCUGCCCUAUGAGCAGUUUCCUGAAGCAGGUUCUUGUAUAUUCCAGUCUCAUCCUUUCCAAAAAAAAAUCAGAAGAAUCACAACAGCAGUUCAAAGAUCUACAAAGAAAGCAGUAAUUAGAGAUUCUUCAUAAUUACCAGGACUCUUGCUGUCAAGGACCUGGAAGGACCUCUAGAGGAAAGAACAUUGAGAGCAACUUCAGCAGCUGAAUGUUCAGCCUGUCUCAAUGUUGGGUUGUAAGUUGGACUCUCAAACACUUCUCCAUUGAAGUUCACUGAAGCCUUGAACCUUGGUGCAUGAUCAGGACCUUCUCUUAUACAUACAUAUGAUGGAAGAUUGAAGCAGCUUCUCUGUGCUAGUUCCUGUAACUGGUUCUUGAACAUAUCUGGAUUCUUAUAUUAUUGUUAUAUAACCUGCCAUUCCAGGAAAAAGCAAAAACAAAGGAAUUCAAGGGAUGAGAAAGUCGUCUUCAUUUCCAUUGAUUGGAUGCAUAGAGAGAAAGGAUUGAAACUUGGUUUCACCUACUUGAGCUGAUGAAGAAAGAAACUCUCUUUUGGUUUACAGAAAGGAGCAGUGUUGUAAGUGUUGCUUUCUCAACAUGGGAAUUGAAAGGAACAAAGGGGGGGAGAAAGAGAAUGAAAUGGGGAGCAGUGAAAAAGGUCAAAUUGAAGAUUUUUUAAGAGCAAAGUUUGAAACUUUGUUUUAUUUUAUUCUUCUUCUUGUUUUUUUCUCCCUCAUUAUCAUUGAUUUUUAAGUAUUGACCCAUCAGAAAACAGGAAGACAUGUCAGUUAUUAAGUCGGAAUUGAAUGCGGCUUCAGCC
Molecule: long non-coding RNA, 822 nt
Filed under: Linum usitatissimum (flax)
Lineage: Eukaryota; Viridiplantae; Streptophyta; Magnoliopsida; Malpighiales; Linaceae
Description: long non-coding RNA (LUSI_LNC006183)
Source: RNAcentral